RNAcentral lists this ribosomal RNA (256 nucleotides) under uncultured bacterium. RNAcentral describes it as "partial 16S ribosomal RNA". It matches the Rfam family "Bacterial small subunit ribosomal RNA", at positions 521 to 776 of the family's 1533-position model. The record is from RNAcentral.
UAAUACAGAGGUCUCAAGCGUUGUUCGGAAUCACUGGGCGUAAAGGGUGCGUAGGCUGCAUGGUAAGUCAGAGGUGAAAUCCCGAAGCUCAACUUCGGAAUUGCCUCCGAUACUGCCAUGCUUGAGGACUGGAGAGGAGUCUGGAAUUCACAGUGGAGCAGUGAAAUGCGUAGAUAUUGUGAGGAACACUAGUUGCGAAGGCGAGACUCUGGACAGUUCCUGACGCUGAGGCACGAAGGCCAGGGGAGCAAACGGG